This 829-nucleotide unclassified non-coding RNA is filed under the name Melitaea cinxia (Glanville fritillary). RNAcentral's name for it is "misc RNA ENSMCXG00005006039.1". The record is from RNAcentral. Lineage: Eukaryota; Metazoa; Arthropoda; Insecta; Lepidoptera; Nymphalidae.
CCUACCAUCCCCCGUUUUAACCCCAAAAGAUAGUUGAUUUCUAAAGAUACAUUAUUUGAACACCUUCUCUCCAUUUAUAGAACAUAUAUUGAAAAUUUCAAGUCUCUUACUUCAAAAACAUAGGACUUUCAUACAAACUGCCAACCCCCGUUUAUCCCCUUGAGGGUCGAGUUUCGUAAAAUCAAUUCUUAGCGGAUGUCUAUGCUCUAUAAGAAACCUACCUGCCAAAUUUCAAGUUUCUAGGUGUUAUAGUUUCGGAGAUUUCGUGAUGAGUGAGUCAACCUACCAUCCCCCGCUUUAACCCAAAAAAGGAGUUGAUUUCUAAAUAUACAUUAUUUGAACAUCUUCUCAUCGUUUAUAGAGCAUACAUUUUAAAUACCCUAGCAUCUUACUUCAAAAACAUAGAACUUUCAUACAAACUUCCAACCCCCGUUUUACCCCCUUAGGGGUCAAAUUCCGUAAAAUCCGUUCUUAGCGGAUGUCUACAACCUAUAAGGAGCCUAUCUGCCAAAUUUCAAGUUUUUAGGUGUUAUAGUUUCGGAGAUUUCGUGAUGAGUGAGUCAACCUACCAUCCCCCGAUUUGACCCCAAAUGGGAGUUGAUUUCUAAAGAUAUAUCUUUCGGACAUCUUCUCAUCAUCUACAGAGCAUACAUUUUAAAUUUCAAGUCUCUUACUUCAAAAACAUGGGACUUUCAUACAAACUUCCAACCUCCGUUUUACCCCCUUAGGGGUCGAGUUUCGUCAAAUCCAUUCUUAGCAAUAGAUUACGCCUUAUAAGGAGCCUACCUGCUAAAUUUCAAGUUUGUAAGCAUUAUAGUUUCGGAGAUUU